ACUUAAAUAGCUUAUAGUUAGAGUUUGAUAUUGAAGAUAUCACGGAAGUAUUAUUACUUUUAAGUA
Molecule: transfer RNA, 66 nt
Filed under: Asthenopholis sp. AST01
Lineage: Eukaryota; Metazoa; Arthropoda; Insecta; Coleoptera; Scarabaeidae
Description: tRNA-Phe
Source: RNAcentral